RNAcentral lists this ribosomal RNA (1117 nucleotides) under Vibrio sp. R98. RNAcentral's name for it is "bacterial SSU rRNA". It matches the Rfam family "Bacterial small subunit ribosomal RNA", at positions 63 to 1171 of the family's 1533-position model. Lineage: Bacteria; Pseudomonadati; Pseudomonadota; Gammaproteobacteria; Vibrionales; Vibrionaceae. The record is from RNAcentral.
CGAGCGGAAACGACACUAACAAUCCUUCGGGUGCGUUAAUGGGCGUCGAGCGGCGGACGGGUGAGUAAUGCCUAGGAAAUUGCCUUGAUGUGGGGGAUAACCAUUGGAAACGAUGGCUAAUACCGCAUAAUGCCUACGGGCCAAAGAGGGGGACCUUCGGGCCUCUCGCGUCAAGAUAUGCCUAGGUGGGAUUAGCUAGUUGGUGAGGUAAUGGCUCACCAAGGCGACGAUCCCUAGCUGGUCUGAGAGGAUGAUCAGCCACACUGGAACUGAGACACGGUCCAGACUCCUACGGGAGGCAGCAGUGGGGAAUAUUGCACAAUGGGCGAAAGCCUGAUGCAGCCAUGCCGCGUGUAUGAAGAAGGCCUUCGGGUUGUAAAGUACUUUCAGUUGUGAGGAAGGGGGUAGUGUUAAUAGCGCUAUCUCUUGACGUUAGCAACAGAAGAAGCACCGGCUAACUCCGUGCCAGCAGCCGCGGUAAUACGGAGGGUGCGAGCGUUAAUCGGAAUUACUGGGCGUAAAGCGCAUGCAGGUGGUUCAUUAAGUCAGAUGUGAAAGCCCGGGGCUCAACCUCGGAACUGCAUUUGAAACUGGUGAACUAGAGUACUGUAGAGGGGGGUAGAAUUUCAGGUGUAGCGGUGAAAUGCGUAGAGAUCUGAAGGAAUACCAGUGGCGAAGGCGGCCCCCUGGACAGAUACUGACACUCAGAUGCGAAAGCGUGGGGAGCAAACAGGAUUAGAUACCCUGGUAGUCCACGCCGUAAACGAUGUCUACUUGGAGGUUGUGGCCUUGAGCCGUGGCUUUCGGAGCUAACGCGUUAAGUAGACCGCCUGGGGAGUACGGUCGCAAGAUUAAAACUCAAAUGAAUUGACGGGGGCCCGCACAAGCGGUGGAGCAUGUGGUUUAAUUCGAUGCAACGCGAGAGCUUACCUACUCUUGACAUCAGAGAAGCAGCGAGACGCAAGUGUGCUCGGAGCUCUGAGACAGGUGCUGCAUGCCUGUCGUCAGCUCUAUUGUGAAUGCUAGGGUCUAAGUUCCGCAAUCGAGGCAAUCUAUCCUUGCUGCAGCAGAUAUGUCGGCACUCAGAACUGCCGUCUAAACCUGAGACACGGUGGAC